This 403-nucleotide ribosomal RNA is filed under the name uncultured bacterium. RNAcentral describes it as "partial 16S ribosomal RNA". It matches the Rfam family "Bacterial small subunit ribosomal RNA", at positions 28 to 526 of the family's 1533-position model. The record is from RNAcentral.
GACGAACGCUGGCGGCGUGCCUAAUACAUGCAAGUCGAACGCAGUGGGGAUGGGUGAGUAACACGUGGGUAACCUCCCAUCAGAGGGGAUAACACUUGGAAACAGGUGCUAAACUGAUACUGAUGGAGGUACCCGCGGGGCAUUAGCUAGUUGGUGAGGUAACGGCUCACCAAGGCCACGAUGCAUAGCCGACCUGAGAGGAUGAGCGGCCACACUGGGACUGAGACACGGCCCAGACUCCUACGGGAGGCAGCAGUAGGGAAUAUUGGGCAAUGGACGAAAGUCUGACCGAGCAAUGCCGCGUGAGUGAAGAAGGUUUUCGGAUCGUAAAACUCUGUUGUUAGAGAAGCGGUAUCUAACCAGAAAGCCACGGCUAACUACGUGCCAGCCGCCGCGGUAAUUC